Molecule: small nuclear RNA, 113 nt
Filed under: Neogale vison (American mink)
Lineage: Eukaryota; Metazoa; Chordata; Mammalia; Carnivora; Mustelidae
Description: Neovison vison (American mink) U4 spliceosomal RNA (ENSNVIG00000006356.1)
Rfam family: U4 spliceosomal RNA
About the family: U4 small nuclear RNA (U4 snRNA) is a component of the major U2-dependent spliceosome. The structure of U4 snRNA from yeast and human has been reported. U4 snRNA presents a k-turn RNA motif in the 5p-SL related to recognition of Snu13 protein.
Source: RNAcentral
AGCUUUGCGCAGUGGCAGUAUCGUAGCCAAUGAGGUUUAUCUGAGGCACGAUUAUUGCUAAUUGAAAACUUUUCUAAUUUUUAAUACGAAAUUUUCUGUGACGUACGAAUUAC